GUGUUGUAUGCAAGGAGAGAAGGUCAGCACUCCCCUUGACAAGGAUGGAAGAGGCCCUUGGACCUGACAACAUACACAUGGUUAAGGCAUGGCCUCGUACUUCAUUCAACAGAAUAGAUGCCCCCAAAUCCAUGAUUGUGU
RNAcentral lists this non-coding RNA (141 nucleotides) under Chinchilla lanigera (long-tailed chinchilla). The record is from RNAcentral. Lineage: Eukaryota; Metazoa; Chordata; Mammalia; Rodentia; Chinchillidae.